Molecule: transfer RNA, 80 nt
Filed under: Clostridium sp.
Lineage: Bacteria; Bacillati; Bacillota; Clostridia; Eubacteriales; Clostridiaceae
Also listed under: 1 other name
Description: tRNA-Leu
Rfam family: tRNA
About the family: Transfer RNA (tRNA) molecules are approximately 80 nucleotides in length. Their secondary structure includes four short double-helical elements and three loops (D, anti-codon, and T loops). Further hydrogen bonds mediate the characteristic L-shaped molecular structure. tRNAs have two regions of fundamental functional importance: the anti-codon, which is responsible for specific mRNA codon recognition, and the 3' end, to which the tRNAs corresponding amino acid is attached (by aminoacyl-tRNA synthetases). tRNAs cope with the degeneracy of the genetic code in two manners: having more than one tRNA (with a specific anti-codon) for a particular amino acid; and 'wobble' base-pairing, i.e. permitting non-standard base-pairing at the 3rd anti-codon position.
Source: RNAcentral
GCGGAUGUGGCGGAACUGGCAGACGCGCUAGACUUAGGAUCUAGUGGGCAACCGUGGGGGUUCAAGUCCCUUCAUCCGCA